Molecule: ribosomal RNA, 253 nt
Filed under: uncultured bacterium
Lineage: Bacteria
Description: partial 16S ribosomal RNA
Rfam family: Bacterial small subunit ribosomal RNA
Source: RNAcentral
UACAGAGGGCCCGAGCGUUGUUCGGAUUCACUGGGCGUAAAGGGUGCGUAGGUGGCAUGGUAAGUUUGAUGUGAAAGCUCAGGGCUCAACCCUGAAAUGGCAUUGAAUACUACUGUGCUGGAGGUUUGGAGGGGGGACUGGAAUUCUUGGUGUAGCAGUGAAAUGCGUAGAUAUCAAGAGGAACACCAGUGGCGAAGGCGAGUCCCUGGACAACACCUGACACUGAGGCACGAAAGCUAGGGGAGCAAACAGG